Molecule: ribosomal RNA, 112 nt
Filed under: Calditrichota bacterium
Lineage: Bacteria; Pseudomonadati; Calditrichota
Source: RNAcentral
UUAGGUGUCCAUAGCGCAGGGGUACACCUCUUCCCUUCCCGAACAGAGAAGUUAAGCCCUGCUACGCCGAUGGUACUGGAGUAAGAUCUGGAAGAGUAGGUAGACGCCAUCC